Halichondria panicea is the source of this 72-nucleotide non-coding RNA. The record is from the annotation of a RefSeq genome assembly. NCBI's taxonomy places the organism in Eukaryota, Metazoa, Porifera, Demospongiae, Suberitida, Halichondriidae.
GCCCUUGUGGCGCAAUGGUAGCGCAUUGGACUUCUAAUUCAAAGGUUGUGGGUUCGAGUCCCAUCGGGGGUG